AUGGAUGCCCGCUCGGUCGAGAAGAAAACCCUCGAGGAAGAGAUUCACCUUGUGAAUCUGGGAGUCGACAUUGUCAUGACGCGGACUGGUUUCCUCCACACCGUGGUUGAUAUUGGCAUCGUCGUCCCCGGCUUUCUUGAGGUGGCAGGCGGGUAUGUGGCAGAUUCUUUUCAGUCUCCAGGGGGACCCGAGCAGUCGCAGCCUGAUACUGAAGUGCACCCUCAGCCCGAAGAGCAGCCUUAG
Molecule: non-coding RNA, 243 nt
Organism: Vicia faba (fava bean)
Lineage: Eukaryota; Viridiplantae; Streptophyta; Magnoliopsida; Fabales; Fabaceae
Source: the annotation of a GenBank genome assembly